This 360-nucleotide transfer-messenger RNA is filed under the name Candidatus Zhuqueibacterota bacterium. RNAcentral's name for it is "candidate division KSB1 bacterium transfer-messenger RNA". It matches the Rfam family "transfer-messenger RNA". Rfam says of the family: Bacterial tmRNA, also known as 10Sa RNA or SsrA, is named for its dual tRNA and mRNA-like properties. Lineage: Bacteria; Pseudomonadati. The record is from RNAcentral.
GGGGACGACAUGGUUUCGACGGAGGACAGAGUAUCGUAGACGGCAUGCCGAGGUUGUCUGGCGCCUCGUAAAAUAGCCGGGCAAAAAAGUAAAUGCAGAUGAUUAUGCAUAUGCCAUGGCUGCCUAAUUAAACGCAGCCACGUCCUACUAACCAGCGCCACCAUGGUUGGAUAGGACGACGGUAUGGGUGGCUGGUCCGCUGCGGUGCCUGGCUGUAGCGGACGAGAUGCUUCCAGGCUGGCUGCCAAAGGGCUUUGUUCGUUGGGCCCGAGGCGGCGAGACCCAACCAACGAACUAAGCAUGUAGAAGUCUACGGGGCUUAUCCUCCGGACGCGGGUUCGAUUCCCGCCGUCUCCACUA